GCACAGCCACUGAAGGUGUGCCUGACCUGGCCCCGACCUGUCUCCUUGGCUUCAUCUCACACCACAUUCCCCCUUUCUUUUCUGUGCUGAUUAAUUUUAAAUUAAUUGAAAGAAUAUUAAUUUUCUUUCACUUCCUGGAAAGAACCAUGUUCCUUCCUGCCAGAGCACAUUACAUGUAUUUUUCUCUCUGAUCUGGAUUCCUCCCAAUUCCCACUCACCCUUCAGAUCUUAGCUUAACUGUCACUUCCUUGGGGAUGCUGUUUCUGACAACCCAGACCAGAUUAGAUUAUAGCCCAUGCACAGUUUUCUCUGACAUAGCCUGUAUCUUAGUUUUAACUUUAUAUUGAUUGGAUUUUUAUUUGAUUAGCAUCUCUCACUCUCCCACUUGGCUAUAAACGUCACGAGGGCAGAGAUCAUGGCUUUGAUUCUUUACCCACUGCAUCUUCAGCUUCUCAACAUGGAACCUUGCAAUAGUAUAGGCACUUACCAAAUAUUUAUUGAACUGAAUCAUGUAUGUCUGAAAUAAUACUAGACCUACAACUCUAAUUAGCUGAAAUAUACAGAUACAGAAUUGCCAAAGAAAUGAUUCCGAGAUCGCUAGCAGGUUAGGAAAUGGAAAUUUUAUGGGGAGAGGUGGGGGAGUGCCUAUAACAUAAGACGGUAGUGGGGAGGCUGGUGCCCACAGGAUGUCUUCACUGUGGUUCUGCCCAGGAUCCUGUGUUGGCUUUCAAAAAAACCAGUCACAGAAAUAAAAUCCCUUGCUCA
Molecule: long non-coding RNA, 765 nt
Filed under: Homo sapiens (human)
Lineage: Eukaryota; Metazoa; Chordata; Mammalia; Primates; Hominidae
Description: HSALNT0228491
Source: RNAcentral